This 466-nucleotide ribosomal RNA is filed under the name uncultured bacterium. RNAcentral's name for it is "partial 16S ribosomal RNA". It matches the Rfam family "Bacterial small subunit ribosomal RNA", at positions 28 to 507 of the family's 1533-position model. The record is from RNAcentral.
GACGAACGCUGGCGGCGUGCUUAACACAUGCAAGUCGAACGGAAAGGCCCUGCUUGCAGGGUACUCGAGUGGCGAACGGGUGAGUAACACGUGGGUGAUCUGCCCUGCACUUCGGGUUAAGCCUGGGCAACUGGGUCUAAUACCGGACAGGUGCCAUUUUUAGUGUGAUGGUUGGAAAGUUUUUUUCGGUGUUGGUUUAGCUCGCGGCGUAUCGGCUUGUUGGUGGGGUAAUGGCCUACCAAAGCGGCUACGGGUAGCCGGCCUGUGAGAGUGGACGGCGACAUUGGGACCUAGGUGCGGCACAGGCUCCGAAGCGAGGCCGCAGUGGGGAAUCUUGCACAAUGGGCGCCAGCCUGAUGCAGCGGCGCUGCGUGUGGGAUGACGGCCUUCGGGUUGUAAACUCCUUUCGCAAGGGACGAAGCUUUUUGUGACGGUACCUAGAUAAGAAGCACCGGCUAACUACGUG